RNAcentral lists this ribosomal RNA (529 nucleotides) under uncultured bacterium. RNAcentral describes it as "bacterial SSU rRNA". It matches the Rfam family "Bacterial small subunit ribosomal RNA", at positions 777 to 1304 of the family's 1533-position model. The record is from RNAcentral.
AAUAGAUACCCAGGUAGUCCACGCCGUAAACGAUGAGUGCUAAGUGUUAGGGGGUUUCCGCCCCUUAGUGCUGCAGCUAACGCAUUAAGCACUCCGCCUGGGGAGUACGGUCGCAAGACUGAAACUCAAAGGAAUUGACGGGGGCCCGCACAAGCGGUGGAGCAUGUGGUUUAAUUCGAAGCAACGCGAAGAACCUUACCAGGUCUUGACAUCCCGCUGACCGCUAUGGAGACAUAGCCUUCCCUUCGGGGACAGCGGUGACAGGUGGUGCAUGGUUGUCGUCAGCUCGUGUCGUGAGAUGUUGGGUUAAGUCCCGCAACGAGCGCAACCCUUGAGAUUAGUUGCCAUCAUUCAGUUGGGCACUCUAAUCUGACUGCCGGUGAUAAACCGGAGGAAGGUGGGGAUGACGUCAAAUCAUCAUGCCCCUUAUGACCUGGGCUACACACGUGCUACAAUGGACGGUACAAACGGUUGCCAACCCGCGAGGGGGAGCCAAUCCGAUAAAACCGCUCUCAGUUCGGAUUGUAGG